AUCCGACUGAAGAGUCGCAAACGGGACGAAACGUGAGUCCUGGAC
This is a non-coding RNA of Schistosoma haematobium, 45 nucleotides long. The record is from Rfam. NCBI's taxonomy places the organism in Eukaryota, Metazoa, Platyhelminthes, Trematoda, Strigeidida, Schistosomatidae.